Molecule: ribosomal RNA, 492 nt
Filed under: uncultured bacterium
Lineage: Bacteria
Description: partial 16S ribosomal RNA
Rfam family: Bacterial small subunit ribosomal RNA
Source: RNAcentral
AGUGAACGCUGGCGGUAGGCCUAACACAUGCAAGUCGAACGGCAGCACAGUAAGAGCUUGCUCUUACGGGUGGCGAGUGGCGGACGGGUGAGGAAUACAUCGGAAUCUACUUUUUCGUGGGGGAUAACGUAGGGAAACUUACGCUAAUACCGCAUACGACCUACGGGUGAAAGCAGGGGAUCUUCGGACCUUGCGCGAUUGAAUGAGCCGAUGUCGGAUUAGCUAGUUGGCGGGGUAAAGGCCCACCAAGGCGACGAUCCGUAGCUGGUCUGAGAGGAUGAUCAGCCACACUGGAACUGAGACACGGUCCAGACUCCUACGGGAGGCAGCAGCGGGGAAUAUUGGACAAUGGGCGCAAGCCUGAUCCAGCCAUACCGCGUGGGUGAAGAAGGCCUUCGGGUUGUAAAGCCCUUUUGUUGGGAAAGAAAAGCAGCAGGCUAAUACCCCGCUGUUCUGACGGUACCCAAAGAAUAAGCACCGGCUAACUUCGUG